This 2510-nucleotide long non-coding RNA is filed under the name Homo sapiens (human). Its description in RNAcentral is "HSALNT0377001". Lineage: Eukaryota; Metazoa; Chordata; Mammalia; Primates; Hominidae. The record is from RNAcentral.
UGAGGCUCGAGUCGCGGCGCCUGGGGCGGUGGCCGCCGGACCAAAGCUGGCCUCUCCCGGCUCCUCCUCCUCGCUCCCCAAGGCCUUUCCCACCGCGUCAUUGUCUCGGUUUAUCUGCAGAUACGUCUACCUAGCAGUCAGCCCAGCAGCGUAAGUGGUGACCAGUGUGGGCCUCUUUGAUCCUGAGACCGAAGGCUCGGCCACUGGCCCUCUCCAUUUGUUCCUUGUUGCCCUCCCUUCAUGAUUCAAUCCAUUAAUUAGGACUUUUCCUACCAGCUGGCAGUUCAGAGCUCCGCAUCCCCAGGCCUCUGAGUCACAGUUCCUGCCUUCAUGAAACUAGGAGUUGGGGCCACUGCAUUCUACUCCUUCGGGACUAUUGUUUCAUUUCUCAGUCCCUCAAACCCUUUAUUGGAUGAACAUGGGGUUAGGACAGCGGUUCUCCACUGCAACAGUUUUGCCUCCCAGGAGACAUUUGGCAAUGUAUGAAUCAUUUUCAGCCUCUCAUCUGGGGUGAGAUGUCAUUGGAAUCUACAGAUGGUGGAGGGCACAGGCUAUUUUCUGAUCGGUUUCUGAAACCUGAAAAUGGAAUUAGCAGAAGAACUAUCCUGAACGAAUAUGUGACCACAGAGUAGGAUCCUCUUGAGCCCCAAAUGAGAUAUAACUAUUACCAUAAUCAAGAGUUGACUGGAGGUAAAGAACACUACAAUCCCAGUGUUCUAGUGACAAAGCCACUAAAGAAGCUGGUUCUGACCUACUGUAAGCAAGCCAUGCAGACUCAGCAGACCAGAAAACGUCUUUCUCCUGCUUUUCAGGCUACUUGCUCAUACCAUUUACCUAUACCACUUAGUUGCUCAUCUAUUAAACUUAGAGGACUUUUCCCUCUUUCAUUUCAUAGCCAGGCAGACUGCCCAAGACACCCUUGGGGAAACCUACUAUUUUUUUCUGUCUACCACGGUGUUUCGAACUUCUCACACUUCUGAGAAUCCUCCUCCUUCUCAGUAGACAACCAUGGAUUCUACUGCAGAAAACACAGAAGCCAUCAGAUUCAAACUCUUUCACCUUCACGCCAACCCAUCUAUAAGCCUUCUUAAAUUUGUACCCAGAUGGGCCUCCUGUCUUUGUGUUAACAUGAAAAAGUGUCUCUUCCUGUCUAUCUAAAGCCAAUCCCACCUCCUACGCUCUGCUGCCCUUCCCAUCUUCUAGGAACCGUGUGCUUCUUUCCUUACAUUGGCUCUCCAGGUGUCUCAUCCAUUCUCAUAGCUUUAAAAGACACUUAUUUUCGUCACUGGUGUCAGCAGCCCAACCUUCUACUCAGACGCCAGCCUAUACACCCUACUGCCUAUCUCACAUCUCUUCUUGAUGUCCCACAGAUAACUCAAUUUAUCUAAAAUGUAACCCAAUUUUUUUUCUUAUCCCUACUCUUAUUAUACUAACUAGCACCAACCGUCAACCCAGUUGCUCAAGCUAGGAAUCUGAAAGUCAUUGAUUUUCGCUUUCCCUCAUUCCUUACAUUUAUCAGCAAACUGUCAAAUCCACUUCCAAAAAUCUCCACUCCAGUCUCCACUGGCACCACCCUAUUUCAAGCUGCCAUCAUCUCUUGCACUGACUACUGCCACAGCCUCCUAACUGGUCUCCUUCAUUCCAUUCAGCACUUUGCAUACAACAGCCAGAGUCAUCUUUUCAGCGCUUUCAUGCCAUUCCCCUGCUGAAAAUCCUUUGCAACUGCUUCUAACUGCACUUAAAUAAAAUCCAAAUGCCGUAUCAGGUCUACAAAGCCCCACACAAUACAGCCUAUCUACUCCUCCAAAUUUAUCCUGUGCUACUCUUCCUUUGCUCCAGCCACACUGGCCUUUUUUAGUUCUAAGAAUCAUAUAACUAAGCUCUUUCCUGCCGCAGUGCCCUUGUACAUGCUACUCCACUCCUGGAAUGUCUAACUCUCUCUCAUCUUUCAGGUUUUAGCAUUAAUUCCAUAUUCUCAGAGAAGCCUUUUUUAGCUACCCUAGCCCUCCAAUGUCCUAUGUCCCCCCAUACUGUUGUAUUUCAGUAUCCUGUGAUAUCACUGAUCAAAAUUUAUAUUCAUUUUGUUUGUUGUUGGUGGGUGGGGGAGGAGGGUGCUAUCUUUCUUUCCUAAUAGAUUAUAAACUGUCUAAGAAGACAAAGGCAAUGUCUAUUUUGAUCACCAUUGUAUUUUCAGCACCUAGCACAGUGCUGGGCAGGCAAGAAAUAUUUAACAAAUGAAUUAAUCCUCCUUUUGAAAAUUUUAAAGAUCUCUCAUUACUCAAAACAAUCUCAACAAGAAACUUAUUUUUAAACCAUCAAUAAAAGCAAAUACAAGUUUUACUAAUUUAUAAUUAGUAAAAUUAUAAUUUACUAAUACAAGUUGUAUGUCUGAAGAAUCCAUUUUAUCUUCAACUUCAGAAUUAAAAUAUACUUCAAUACUAACUAGAAGAGUGGCAGAGAUUCCCCUAGAAAAAGGAAAUAAAACUGAACAGACAUCCUGUUCUCUCUCA